Long non-coding RNA from Acromyrmex echinatior (Panamanian leafcutter ant), 913 nucleotides. NCBI's taxonomy places the organism in Eukaryota, Metazoa, Arthropoda, Insecta, Hymenoptera, Formicidae. The record is from RefSeq and is a predicted model, not a curated record.
UUUAUCUUUAUUUCUUUGCUAAAUGCGAUGAUGUCCCAUUUGGUUCUUUAAUGCAUUUUCGGGGAGAUACUACUAGCAUUAUUAGUAGUAUUCUAUUUUUAUGAUUUGUUAGACAUAAAAUAAGAAUAGCAUAACGCAAAUAAUGUUAAUAGCGUCUCCUCGAACGCAUUUCUAGCGACGAUAUAGACGGCACUGCUUCUCGCGAAGUGCGACGCUUGGAGUGGGAAUAAACAGCACUGCAAUCCAAACUCUAAGUUGAUGAUGAAACUCUUUAAUAACUGAUUUAUCAUUGAAGUGAAAAAUAGAUUCUACGUAAAAAGUUGUAUGUUACGUAACUGUGUUUAUCGUUAAUCCUAUUGCAUAACAAUUUAUCUCUAUUCAGUCUUCGUUCAGUUCCUUUGCAGUAGUGGAUAAAGUUUCUUGUAGCGUCACGAUAACAAACGUAUGUGAAGAUAGUGUAGAGUUUUACGCUCGACAUGGGUUAACUAGUGAAGAUAGAAGAUGUACAGCGACAUAUUUGAACGAGACCGAUGAGAGAGCGUCAUCGCGGAAAUCAAACGCUGGAUCAACGAUAUAUGGAAAAGAUGAAAGAUAGAUUUCACAACACAUUUACUCACACAAAACAAUACGGAACUGUUUCAAGGAUAUUCCAGCUAAUAUCUUGUCCGUCGAGUAUGUCGACACUGAUGGCAUAAUCCAGGAAUUAACAGAAUAUUCGAAAGAAAUCAAUUGAAGAGAAUCGCGAAUGGCUUAUAGAUGAUGAUAAUGAUAAAAUGAUAAAAUUAUUUUGAAGCGGUUUAAGAUACUUAUUUUGAAGAGUUAGGAACAACAUAAAGAUGACUUUUUUAUCCUGCGAUUUUUGAGAGUCUGUAAAUUUAACCUCGAGAAAACUAAAAUCAGGAUAAGAAACUAU